RNAcentral lists this ribosomal RNA (722 nucleotides) under Misgurnus anguillicaudatus (oriental weatherfish). Its description in RNAcentral is "partial small subunit ribosomal RNA". It matches the Rfam family "Bacterial small subunit ribosomal RNA", at positions 513 to 1533 of the family's 1533-position model. Lineage: Eukaryota; Metazoa; Chordata; Actinopteri; Cypriniformes; Cobitidae. The record is from RNAcentral.
CACCGCGGUUAUACGAGAGGCCCUAGUUGAUGGACACGGCGUAAAGGGUGGUUAAGGUCCAAUAUAAAUAAAGCCAAAAGACCUCUUGGCUGUCAUACGCCCCUGAGCUUCCGAAGCCCACAUACGAAAGUAGCUUUAAUACCAUUCACCUGACCCCACGAAAGCUGAGAAACAAACUGGGAUUAGAUACCCCACUAUGCUCAGCCAUAAACUUAGGCGUUACUUUACAAUAAACGCCCGCCAGGGUACUACGAGCAUUAGCUUAAAACCCAAAGGACUUGGCGGUGCCUUAGACCCCCCUAGAGGAGCCUGUUCUAGAACCGAUAACCCCCGUUAAACCUCACCACUUCUGGCCAUCCCCGCCUAUAUACCGCCGUCGUCAGCUUACCCUGUGAAGGACAAAUAGUAAGCAAAGUGAAUAUAAUCCAAAACGUCAGGUCGAGGUGUAGCGAACGAAGUGGGAAGAAAUGGGCUACAUUUUCUUUAAUAAGAAUAUUACGGACAACACUAUGAAAACUUGGUGCUUGAAGGAGGAUUUAGUAGUAAAAAGGAAAUAGAGUGUCCUUUUGAACCCGGCUCUGAGGCGCGUACACACCGCCCGUCACUCUCCCCGCCAACAGCAAUAAAUGUUAAUAACAUAUAAGCACAAAUAAGGGGAGGCAAGUCGUAACAUGGUAAGUGUACCGGAAGGUGCACUUGGAUCAAAUCAGGACGUGGCUGAG